CUUCUUCCUCUCCCUCCAUACAGGUGUAUGUAUUAUUACCUAUAAAUAGAAUUUGUUUCUAAUAGGUAAUAAAUAAUAGGUAAUAAUAUAUACACCUGUAUGGAGGGAGAGGAAGAAG
RNAcentral lists this microRNA precursor (118 nucleotides) under Marmota monax (woodchuck). The record is from RNAcentral. Lineage: Eukaryota; Metazoa; Chordata; Mammalia; Rodentia; Sciuridae.